This 497-nucleotide ribosomal RNA is filed under the name uncultured bacterium. Its description in RNAcentral is "partial 16S ribosomal RNA". It matches the Rfam family "Bacterial small subunit ribosomal RNA", at positions 28 to 507 of the family's 1533-position model. The record is from RNAcentral.
GACGAACGCUGGCGGCGUGCCUAAUACAUGCAAGUUGAGCGAUGAAGAUUGGUGCUUGCACCAAUUUGAAGAGCAGCGAACGGGUGAGUAACGCGUGGGGAAUCUGCCUUUGAGCGGGGGACAACAUUUGGAAACGAAUGCUAAUACCGCAUAACAACUUUAAACAUAAGUUUUAAGUUUGAAAGAUGCAAUUGCAUCACUCAAAGAUGAUCCCGCGUUGUAUUAGCUAGUUGGUGAGGUAAAGGCUCACCAAGGCGAUGAUACAUAGCCGACCAGAGAGGGUGAUCGGCCACAUUGGGACUGAGACACGGCCCAAACUCCUACGGGAGGCAGCAGUAGGGAAUCUUCGGCAAGAGACGAAAGUCUGACCGAGCAACGCCGCGUGAGUGAAGAAGGGUUUCGGAUCGUAAAACUCGGUUGGUAGAGAAGAACGUUGGUGAGAGUGGAAAGCUCAUCAAGUGACGGUAACUACCCAGAAAGGGACGGCUAACUACGUG